CAAUAGCGUAUAUUAAUGUUGUUGCAGUUAAAAAGCUCGUAGUUGGAUUUCUACCUAUUUUGCCCGUUCCGGAAGAUAUUCAUCUUUCGGUAAUGGAGCUGAAGUGGGUAUCCUAUCAUGAAGUAGCGGCCUCGUGUCGUUGCUGAGUGGUUCUUUUACUUUGAAAAAAUUAGAGUGUUUAAAGCGGGCUUGCGCAUGAAUACAUUAGCAUGGAAUAAUAACAUAGGACUUUGGUCUCUAUUUUGUUGGUUUCUAGGACUAAAGUAAUGAUUGAUAGGGAUAGUUGGGGGUGCUAGUAUUGAGCGGCCAGAGGUGAAAUUCUUAGAUUCGCUCAAGACUAACUUAUGCGAAAGCAUUCACCAAGGAUGUCUUCUUUAA
RNAcentral lists this ribosomal RNA (378 nucleotides) under uncultured eukaryote. RNAcentral describes it as "partial 18S ribosomal RNA". It matches the Rfam family "Eukaryotic small subunit ribosomal RNA", at positions 592 to 976 of the family's 1831-position model. The record is from RNAcentral.